GACGAGCGCUGGCGGCGUGCUUAACACAUGCAAGUCGAACGGAAAGGCCCUGCUUUUGUGGGGUGCUCGAGUGGCGAACGGGUGAGUAACACGUGAGUAACCUGCCCUUGACUUUGGGAUAACUUCAGGAAACUGGGGCUAAUACCGGAUAGGAGCUCCUGCUGCAUGGUGGGGGUUGGAAAGUUUCGGCGGUUGGGGAUGGACUCGCGGCUUAUCAGCUUGUUGGUGGGGUAGUGGCUUACCAAGGCUUUGACGGGUAGCCGGCCUGAGAGGGUGAUCGGCCACAUUGGGACUGAGAUACGGCCCAGACUCCUACGGGAGGCAGCAGUGGGGAAUAUUGCACAAUGGGCGGAAGCCUGAUGCAGCAACGCCGCGUGCGGGAUGACGGCCUUCGGGUUGUAAACCGCUUUCGCCUGUGACGAAGCGUGAGUGACGGUAAUGGGUAAAGAAGCACCGGCUAACUACGUG
RNAcentral lists this ribosomal RNA (468 nucleotides) under uncultured bacterium. Its description in RNAcentral is "partial 16S ribosomal RNA". It matches the Rfam family "Bacterial small subunit ribosomal RNA", at positions 28 to 507 of the family's 1533-position model. The record is from RNAcentral.